AGCACCGCGCCUUCCUGAGUCGCGCUUUCCGGACGCGGUCUCAAAUUUGGGAGGUUGGGACCUGGAGCGAAACCCCAAACCCUCCCUGCGCGCUAGUCGCGACCUUAGCAUAUUCUAAUUCCAUUCUGCCUUUUACAGAGGAGGGGAGGAAGGCCAUCCCAAGCCUCCUGGAGGCUUUACCUAGUGAAGAAGACGAGCAGCCACUGCAGCGCGGUGGAGAGAGUAUCCUGGCUGGCACCGAAGAUGUCUGUGACGGUGGCCGGCACGUACUCUUCGUCCAGCCGCGCGCCGCCGUCGCCAGAGCCCGCGGCAGCUUCCUUUCCUGCCGAGAGCAUGAAGGCGUCCAUCAUGUCGCGGGGAGCGGCCCCGGGCCGAAGGCUUUCACGGUGCCUCAGGAACUUGUCUAGGACGAAGCUGCUGAAGUUGCGAUUGAGCGUCUCGAAUUCACGGAAGGCAGUGCGCACAGGGUUGGGGAAGCGCUGCAGCCAGGGCAGCACGUCCACCAGGCUGCCCGCGCCCACCGUGCGCCCGAACUCCUCGUUGUGGCUGAGCAGCUCUCGGAACUCGGCGUCGUCGUGGCUGUAGCGGCAGCCGAAGCACACGGCGCUCAUGACGUUGGCCACGGCCACCACGGUCAGCGGCCGCGGGUCGAGAAAGGCGCCGCCCGCGCUGCCGCGCACCAGCAGCUCCACCAACUCCCGCGCCUCGCCCAGCACAUGGCCCUCGAGCACCCGGCGGCCGCGCGGCUGGCGCGUGGAGAAGGCUCGCAUCGUGCUGUACGCCGCGCGCCGCUGCGCCUUCCAGCUCUCCGAAUACUGGCCGAAAGCCAGGCUGCGGCCACCAGACACCACGCGGAAAGAGGCGAAGGGCGGCCGGUCGGCGAACGCGGCGCCCUGCUGCACCAGGGCCUGGCGGAUGGCGCGCUCGCCGUUCAGCACCACCACCGGGCAGCUGCCCAGGCGGAUCUGGAAGACGUCGCCGUAGCGCCGCGCCAGGCGUGCGAACGAGACGUGAGGCGCCGGGCCCAUUGACGCCGCAUUUCCGAUCAGCGGCCAAGCGAAGGGACCCGGGGGCGCGGACCCCGGCUGCCGCCGCCGCUGCCUCAACAGCCACUGGCCCACGUGCACCGCGGCCAGUACCGAGAGCAGCAACAGGAGCAUGGUCUGCUGGGCCGACAGAGGGAUAGGCGGCAGAUGAUCGUCCGGGCUGAGGCUGGUGGCCAUGCUGGGAAGAGAAGGGCGAAGGCGUGACACUCAGGCAAGAACAUUGCAGGACUUCCCCGGUGGCACAGUGGUUAAGAAUCUGCCUGCCAACGCAGGGGCACGGGUUCAAGCCCUGGUCCGGGAAGAUCCCACAUGCUGCGGAGCAACUAAGCCCGUGCGCCACAACUGAGCCUGCGCUCUAGAGCCCGCGAGCCACAACUACUGAGCCCGCAUGCCACAACUACUGAAGCCCGCGUGCCUAGAGCCCGUGCUCUGCAACAAGAGAAGCCACAGCAAUGAGAAGCCCGCACACCGCAACGAAGAGUAGCCCCCGUUCACCGCAACUAGAGAAAGCUCGCGCGCAGCAACGAAGACCCAACACAGCCAACAAUUUUACUUACACUUCCCUACAGAGACCAUCCCAACUGGAGCAAUCCACAUAGGCGUGGAAAUCUAGACCCUUUCAUCAGGACUGUCUUUCCCAAGGGUUUCUGUCCCUGACAACUCUCUUCCCAGCUGAGAGUUACGGACAAAUCAAGGAAGAUGGGUCUGUGGUUCAUCUUACUGCUCCCCCUUCAACAAAUUCAACUUGCUUCACAAGAGUCAGCUGGGAAUGGCCCCCAAAGAAAACAACCAGUUGGAUUAUAUGAAUUCAUGACUGUCAGAGGAAUAAAGCCUUGCUCUUUCCCCUUCUCCUUCAAAAGUUUAGCAAGGACACGCUUUCCCCACAUAGCCUGCAUAGCCUCAUAACAGCUGUCCCAGAGGAUGGAUUGCACAUGGAUUACAACUAAUCGGGGUCAAGAAGAGAUUGCCUACAGUUUUGCCCAGAGCUCUUCUUGGGCUGAGAAAGUGUGUGCUCCCUCAGAUAUUUUCCUACCCCCUAUGGUACUAGUUCCUACCUUCUAUGCAUUUCUGUCAUUGAACAACUAAGAAGCUAUUAAUUUUAUUUCUUCUAAGGACUGAAGGAGCUCCUUAGUCCCUCAAAAUACAACAGAGGAAAAAUCUGUUCAGCCUAAAUUCAAGCCUAAAUUUAAAAUCCAAACAUUUGAAGUGAUCAUGAUGUCCACAUGCUACAAAAUACAACUUUCUUUUAAAAAGAAAAUCCUGGCGAUUGUACUGUUUUAUGUAGAAUGCUGUUCAGUCUAGAGCCAUUUCAAACUCUCAAAACUUUAUACGUGCAAGGAAAGCAAACUGAAAGUGAAAGUCACUCAGUUUACUCUUAUUUCUAAGAUUAGUUUCAACCUCCCUGGUUUUCAACACUCAUGCCAGUGUCCAGACUUGCAGCCACAGCAAGGGAUUUCCUCAGUCACAUAGAGAACCUGGAAUAAAUUACU
Lagenorhynchus albirostris (white-beaked dolphin) is the source of this 2536-nucleotide long non-coding RNA. RefSeq lists it as uncharacterized. The transcript is spliced from 3 exons. The record is from RefSeq and is a predicted model, not a curated record. Lineage: Eukaryota; Metazoa; Chordata; Mammalia; Artiodactyla; Delphinidae.